UAAGUGAAUGCUUUGCCACAGUCUUGAAUUUAGAAUCCUAGCCUGCUGCAACAUUCACUUGGC
RNAcentral lists this microRNA precursor (63 nucleotides) under Strongyloides ratti. Its description in RNAcentral is "microRNA str-mir-86 precursor". Its record names the gene str-mir-86. Lineage: Eukaryota; Metazoa; Nematoda; Chromadorea; Rhabditida; Strongyloididae. The record is from miRBase by way of RNAcentral.